GGCCUGGUGGUGUAACGGUAACAUGCCUGCUUCGCUUUGUGGAGCUGUAAACACCUUUCGGCGGGAGAUCCUUGUUCGAUCCAAGGCUGGGCCA
Molecule: non-coding RNA, 94 nt
Organism: Mycena latifolia
Lineage: Eukaryota; Fungi; Basidiomycota; Agaricomycetes; Agaricales; Mycenaceae
Source: the annotation of a GenBank genome assembly